Molecule: ribosomal RNA, 394 nt
Filed under: uncultured bacterium
Lineage: Bacteria
Description: bacterial SSU rRNA
Rfam family: Bacterial small subunit ribosomal RNA
Source: RNAcentral
UGGCGGCAUGGCUUACACAUGCAAGUCGAACGGCAGCACGGGGGUAACCCUGGUGGCGAGUGGCGAACGGGUGAGUAAUACAUCGGAACGUGCCCAGUCGUGGGGGAUAACGUAGCGAAAGUUACGCUAAUACCGCAUACGAUCUCUGGAUGAAAGCGGGGGACCGCAAGGCCUCGCGCGAUUGGAGCGGCCGAUGGCAGAUUAGGUAGUUGGUGGGGUAAAAGCUUACCAAGCCUCCGAUCUGUAGCUGGUCUGAGAGGACGAUCAGCCACACUGGGACUGAGACACGGCCCAGACUCCUACGGGAGGCAGCAGUGGGGAAUUUUGGACAAUGGGCGCAAGCCAGAUCCAGCAAUGNCGCGUGCAGGACGAAGGNCUUCGGGUUGUAAACUGC